Molecule: ribosomal RNA, 213 nt
Filed under: uncultured bacterium
Lineage: Bacteria
Description: partial 16S ribosomal RNA
Rfam family: Bacterial small subunit ribosomal RNA
Source: RNAcentral
UACAGAGGGUGCGAGCGUUAAUCGGAAUUACUGGGCGUAAAGCGUGCGUAGACGGUAGCGUAAGUCAGAUGUGAAAGCCCCGGGCUCAACCUGGGAAUUGCAUUUGAGACUGCUCUGCUCGGGUGCGGAAGAGGGAAGCGGAAUUUCCGGUGUAGCGGUGAAAUGCGUAGAUAUCGGAAGGAACACCAGUGGCGAAAGCGGCUCCUGGUCCGA